This 341-nucleotide unclassified non-coding RNA is filed under the name soil metagenome. Its description in RNAcentral is "partial contains 5.8S ribosomal RNA, internal transcribed spacer 2, and large subunit ribosomal RNA". The stretch from base 1 to 120 matches the Rfam family "5.8S ribosomal RNA", at positions 35 to 154 of the family's 154-position model. The record is from RNAcentral.
GAUGAAGAACGCAGUGAAAUGCGAUAAGUAGUGUGAAUUGCAGAAUUCAGUGAAUCAUCGAAUCUUUGAACGCACAUUGCGCCCUUUGGUAUUCCAAAGGGCAUGUCUGUUCGAGCGUCAUUUGUACCCUCAAGCUUUGCUUGGUGUUGGGCGUCUUGUCUCUAGCUUUGCUGGAGACUCGCCUUAAAGUAAUUGGCAGCCGGCCUACUGGUUUCGGAGCGCAGCACAAGUCGCACUCUCUAUCAGCAAAGGUCUAGCAUCCAUUAAGCCUUUUUUUCAACUUUUGACCUCGGAUCAGGUAGGGAUACCCGCUGAACUUAAGCAUAUCAAUAAGCGGAGGA